GAGGAAUUUGCUAGCUGUUCCGCCUUGAAUCUGUCACUCGAAUGCUUAGGCACUUAAAAAAAAAAUUGAGGGGGAAAUAUAAUAAGUUGCCGUUGCCGUUGUUCUGUCUUCAGAGUUAUGACAUCCAUUUGAGAACAAAACAGCAGAGUGUUAAGGAGGGUAAUUCAGCUUUUAACGUUAAGCUAGAUGACAAUAAUAAGACUCUUUGUCCAGGAAAAAACUAUAAGGGACCUAACGGGAUUCCUUUAAGACCAUUUUCUCCUGAAUAUUUGCUAUUGUUAAAGCACGUUCCUGAUCCUUAUAGACUUCUUUUUUAUUUACCUAAAGAUUUAAUAUUACCAUUAAAAUUAUUAUGCGUACACGAGUUUGACAGCUCUUACAGUUUGCAGCCUUCGGAGUCCAUGACUCUUUCGGAGCUAGAUACAGUCAUUCUUAAUUUCUUAACAGAUCAAAAAUUUUUAACUGUUAAAAUGUUCAAUAAAAAUUUUGAAGCUUUUUCCGGCGAUCUACGCUUUCUUGAAGAGGCACG
Zophobas morio is the source of this 529-nucleotide long non-coding RNA. RefSeq lists it as uncharacterized. Lineage: Eukaryota; Metazoa; Arthropoda; Insecta; Coleoptera; Tenebrionidae. The transcript is spliced from 4 exons. The record is from RefSeq and is a predicted model, not a curated record.